AACAGGAUUAGAUACCCUGGUAGUCCACGCCGUAAACGAUGUCGACUUGGAGGUUGUGCCCUUGAGGCGUGGCUUCCGGAGCUAACGCGUUAAGUCGACCGCCUGGGGAGUACGGCCGCAAGGUUAAAACUCAAAUGAAUUGACGGGGGCCCGCACAAGCGGUGGAGCAUGUGGUUUAAUUCGAUGCAACGCGAAGAACCUUACCUGGUCUUGACAUCCACAGAACUUUCCAGAGAUGGAUUGGUGCCUUCGGGAACUGUGAGACAGGUGCUGCAUGGCUGUCGUCAGCUCGUGUUGUGAAAUGUUGGGUUAAGUCCCGCAACGAGCGCAACCCUUAUCCUUUGUUGCCAGCGGUCCGGCCGGGAACUCAAAGGAGACUGCCAGUGAUAAACCGGAGGAAGGUGGGGAUGACGUCAAGUCAUCAUGGCCCUUACGACCAGGGCUACACACGUGCUACAAUGGCGCAUACAAAGAGAAGCGACCUCGCGAGAGCAAGCGGACCUCAUAAAGUGCGUCGUAGUCCGGAUUGGAGUCUGCAACUCGACUCCAUGAAGUCGGAAUCGCUAGUAAUCGUGGAUCAGAAUGCCACGGUGAAUACGUUCCCGGGCCUUGUACACACCGCCCGUCACACCAUGGGAGUGGGUUGCAAAAGAAGUAGGUAGCUUAACCUUCGGGAGGGCGCUUACCACUUUGUGAUUCAUGACUGGGGUGAAGUCGUAACAAGGUAACC
Molecule: ribosomal RNA, 730 nt
Filed under: uncultured bacterium
Lineage: Bacteria
Description: bacterial SSU rRNA
Rfam family: Bacterial small subunit ribosomal RNA
Source: RNAcentral